This 228-nucleotide ribosomal RNA is filed under the name uncultured bacterium. RNAcentral's name for it is "partial 16S ribosomal RNA". It matches the Rfam family "Bacterial small subunit ribosomal RNA", at positions 568 to 795 of the family's 1533-position model. The record is from RNAcentral.
CAUGUAGGCGGUCUGUUAAGUCUGGUGUGAAAGCCCGGGGCUCAACCCCGGAAGUGCAUUGGAUACUGGCAGACUUGAGUAUGGGAGAGGAAAGUGGAAUUCCGAGUGUAGGAGUGAAAUCCGUAGAUAUUCGGAGGAACACCAGUGGCGAAGGCGGCUUUCUGGACCAAUACUGACGCUGAGAUGCGAAAGCGUGGGGAGCGAACAGGAUUAGAUACCCUGGUAGUC